CCUUGCCUAGAUUUGGCUUAAAUAUAAAUAAACAAUGAAGAUUUCCUGGAAGAAAAAUCAUGAGAGAAGAUGGAAGAACCUGAGCACCCUCCAGCUAAGGCAAUUAUGAAUUUAGGAAAGCUGGUGUUGUUGAUUCGAUAUGUGAACACUUGGACUCUUUCAUGGCUGGAUCAAAAUUUUUCUCAGAAGAAUAGAUAGGUA
Molecule: long non-coding RNA, 201 nt
Filed under: Cyanistes caeruleus (blue tit)
Lineage: Eukaryota; Metazoa; Chordata; Aves; Passeriformes; Paridae
Description: lncRNA (ENSCCEG00000022730.1)
Source: RNAcentral